CGGACGGGUGAGUAACGCGUGAGAAUCUGCCUUCAGGUCGGGGACAACCACUGGAAACGGUGGCUAAUACCGGAUAUGCCGCAACGUGAAAGAUUUAUCGCCUGAAGAGGAGCUCGCGUCUGAUUAGCUAGUUGGUGGGGUAAAAGCUCACCAAGGCGACGAUCAGUAGCUGGUCUGAGAGGACAACCAGCCACACUGGGACUGAGACACGGCCCAGACUCCUACGGGAGGCAGCAGUGGGGAAUUUUCCGCAAUGGGCGAAAGCCUGACGGAGCAAUACCGCGUGAGGGAGGAAGGCUCUUGGGUCGUAAACCUCUUUUCUCAGGGAAGAAGAAAGUGACGGUACCUGAGGAAUCAGCCUCGGCUAACUCCGUGCCAGCAGCCGCGGUAAUACGGAGGAGGCAAGCGUUAUCCGGAAUUAUUGGGCGUAAAGCGUCCGUAGGUGGCUCUUCAAGUCUGCUGUCAAAGAGUGGGGCUUAACUCCAGAAAGGCAGUGGAAACUGAAAGGCUAGAGAGCCGUAGGGGUAGAGGGAAUUCCUGGUGUAGCGGUGAAAUGCGUAGAGAUCGGGAAGAACAUCGGUGGCGAAAGCGCUCUACUGGACGGUAUCUGACACUGAGGGACGAAAGCUAGGGGAGCGAAUGGGAUUAGAUACCCCAGUAGUC
Molecule: ribosomal RNA, 663 nt
Filed under: uncultured cyanobacterium
Lineage: Bacteria; Bacillati; Cyanobacteriota
Description: bacterial SSU rRNA
Rfam family: Bacterial small subunit ribosomal RNA
Source: RNAcentral